RNAcentral lists this ribosomal RNA (253 nucleotides) under uncultured bacterium. RNAcentral describes it as "partial 16S ribosomal RNA". It matches the Rfam family "Bacterial small subunit ribosomal RNA", at positions 524 to 776 of the family's 1533-position model. The record is from RNAcentral.
UACGUAGGGUGCGAGCGUUGUCCGGAAUUAUUGGGCGUAAAGGGCUCGUAGGCGGUUUGUCGCGUCGGGAGUGAAAACCUUGGGCUUAACUCAGGGCUUGCUUUCGAUACGGGCAGACUAGAGGUAUGCAGGGGAGAACGGAAUUCCUGGUGUAGCGGUGAAAUGCGCAGAUAUCGAGAGGAACACCUGCGGCGAAGGCGGGUUGCUGGGCUGACACUGACGCUGAGGCGCGAAAGCUAGGGGAGCGAACGGG